CCUACGGGAGGCAGCAGUGAGGAAUAUUGGUCAAUGGACGAGAGUCUGAACCAGCCAAGUCGCGUGAAGGAUGACUGCCCUAUGGGUUGUAAACUUCUUUUAUAUGGGAGUAAAAUGUUCCACGUGUGGGAUUUUGUAUGUACCAUAUGAAUAAGGCUCGGCUAACUCCGUGCCAGCAGCCGCGGUAAUACGGAGGAUCCGAGCGUUAUCCGGAUUUAUUGGGUUUAAAGGGACCGUAGGUGGAUUGUUAAGUCAGUUGUGAAAGUUUGCGGGUUAACCGUAAAAUUGCAGUUGAAACUGGCAGUCUUGAGUACAGUAGAGGUGGGCGGAAUGCGUGGUGUAGCGGUGAAAUGCGUAGAUAUCACGAAGAACUCCGAUUGCGAAGGCAGCUUACUGGACUGCAACUGACACUGAGGCUCGAAAGUGUGGGUAUCAAACAGGAUUAGAUACCCCUGUAGUC
RNAcentral lists this ribosomal RNA (460 nucleotides) under uncultured bacterium. RNAcentral's name for it is "partial 16S ribosomal RNA". It matches the Rfam family "Bacterial small subunit ribosomal RNA", at positions 338 to 795 of the family's 1533-position model. The record is from RNAcentral.